GCUGCUAUAGCUCAGUCGGUUAGAGCACUCGGCUGUUAACCGAGUUGUCGCAGGUUCGAGCCCUGCUAGCAGCG
Molecule: transfer RNA, 74 nt
Filed under: Virus NIOZ-UU159
Description: tRNA-Asn
Rfam family: tRNA
About the family: Transfer RNA (tRNA) molecules are approximately 80 nucleotides in length. Their secondary structure includes four short double-helical elements and three loops (D, anti-codon, and T loops). Further hydrogen bonds mediate the characteristic L-shaped molecular structure. tRNAs have two regions of fundamental functional importance: the anti-codon, which is responsible for specific mRNA codon recognition, and the 3' end, to which the tRNAs corresponding amino acid is attached (by aminoacyl-tRNA synthetases). tRNAs cope with the degeneracy of the genetic code in two manners: having more than one tRNA (with a specific anti-codon) for a particular amino acid; and 'wobble' base-pairing, i.e. permitting non-standard base-pairing at the 3rd anti-codon position.
Source: RNAcentral